UGAACCUAAACUUGGAUCGGAAGAGUGACGGAUGAUGAAACUGGCCUGUAGCAAUGUUGAAGUAUCAUUACGUGAAGACAUCGCGGAAUGAGGGUAUCUCAGGGAACUGAAUCAUUUAUAGACGUGAAGGCAUCGAAAGAAACUCAAGUCCGUCUGUAGCGGCGAGCGGACGCAGAUUUGUGCAACGCAAUAAAGUUUACAUUAUUGGGGUUGCGGACAUAUCAUAACGAUGAGGUAUCGUAAUUGAA
This 248-nucleotide ribosomal RNA is filed under the name Clostridioides difficile. Its description in RNAcentral is "partial 23S ribosomal RNA". It matches the Rfam family "Bacterial large subunit ribosomal RNA", at positions 87 to 337 of the family's 2925-position model. Lineage: Bacteria; Bacillati; Bacillota; Clostridia; Peptostreptococcales; Peptostreptococcaceae. The record is from RNAcentral.